CACGGAGCUUUCGCGAUUUGUUGUGAUUUCGCGUUUUGUUUUGGUUCUAAUCUGGUGAAAUUCCGCGGUGCAUUUCGCAAGUUGUUGUUCCGGAUUUGGUGAUUGCGGAUUAUGGAAUCGAAAGAUGACGACUACUGGAACGAUUCCACCAACAAGUCGUUCAACUUUGACGAGGAUGAGGUGGCCGUCCUGGAGGUGCAGAGUGCCUCGACCGCCGCCAACCGGCGCAGCCUGUUCGGUGAGGACACGGCGUCCGAGGUGCACUUUGCAAACACCCAGCAGGAGUUGCCCCUGUCGGUGAUCAUUUCCGACGAAGAUCUCGCGUCCCUGCUGGAGGACCAGUCGCGCUGCGAAGCCCCACUGCCGAAGGGCAUCUCGCUGGAGGAGGAGGUCAAGCUGCUCCGGCGGCGACUGCAAGAAUGCAGCUACGCCCCGACGGCUGCUUCGGUCGUGGCCAAGCUAGUUUUGGGGAAGAGCUGUUCGCUGGAAAUGUUCCGAUCGCUGGGCGAAAAGGAGGAACUGCUUGACGACGCGGUGGCCAGUGGCAGCGGGAAUGCCAUCCUGAAGGUGGUGCUGUUUCUCGAGCGGACGUUGAAGAAGAAGCUGUUUUACCGGCUGCUGCAGACCCGGCCGGAAGCGGUCAGCCAUUACGUGAACUACAUGGCACUGCGGCUGAAGGUUACCGAGUGUACGGAUUUGCUGGUAUUUCUCGGAAGACAUCACGAAGCCAGUCUACUGCAAUUCUCCAUCUACGUCCGCAGUACGUCCAACGUCGAGUUCAAACGGCAACGGUUGAAAAAGAUCUACAGCGAUUACUUCUCCCAGCCGGGGACCAACAGCUUCUACGCCCAGCUCGUGGCCAAUUACAUCAACUUACUUGAGUUCCAAGUAUCGGAGCAGCACGCCGCCAACGCCGGCUCCAUCCUGGACCGAUCGGUCCUGGAAACGCUCCACUACGCGUGCGGCCGCUACAAGUGGGGCGACACCGCCACCGCCACGCUUCAGUCCCCCGCGAGCCCCUUCAAGCUGGCGGAAGCGCACGCCGUUGGCGCGCCCCAGUUCGAGUGGAUCGCGCUGAACGAACGUGCCCGCGCCAACGCCUGGCUCGACUUUGAGCACAUUUUCGAGCGCAAGGCGUGGCUCAAUCUGAAGCAGCGAAAAUCCUUCACCAUCCACAUCCCGAUCGAUCGGACGAUUCUGCGGCUGGCGGCGCUGAGCGCGCCCGAACCGGUGCUGAACAACUUUCUCGCCAAGGUGGACGAUCCCGCGCGGAGGUUGGGGCUGGCACGGCGCGUUGGCGCCAAGAAAGGCGUCGUGGACGCGCUGGUCGCGCUCAAGGAUCGAACCGAGCUGGAGCUGUUUCGGGACGGGUUGGAGACGGGAACGGAGGAGCGGUUCUACGCGGAGAAUGCGCUCAAGUCGUUGAUAGCCGGAGGAAUGGGUGCGAAAAUGUCUCGCCGUAAAGGGCGGAAGGCCGCUGCGGCCGCCGAAGAGGCCAGUACGGUCGAGGAGUUGGCCACUCCGCGUACGGACGAAGCUGACGUUGACCGGGUUGCGGGUGGCGGACGGGUUGACGGGGGAACUGACUCGGCGGGGGGAAUUCCGGAACCGGAUCCGCCGGUUCUGGAACAAAAUUUAACUGACUCUUGUUUUGACCAUUCCGAUGAACCGGCGGAUCCGGUUCCGGAAGCCCCGGUGGUAAUUGAAAUUCCUUAUUCAUUAAAUAACUCUUUGGCCAAUGCUACGGCGGUUCCGAUUCCGGAACCGCCCGCAGAUCAAAAUUCUACUUUGAAUGAUUUGUCUAUUUCAGGGGGAAUCGAGGGCCAAAUCGACGAGAUUACCGUAGUUCCGAUACCGGAUCCACCGGUCACGGAGCAAAAUUUAAACGACGAUUCUUUGGAAAAUUCCGAAAGACCGGUGGAUCCGGUUGAGGAAUCUACGGUAAUCGACGUAGAAGAAGGUUCCGAACCAUCUGCGGCGGCUUCCAUCUUGGAACCGUCCGCAGAACGGUAUGUUCGUAAAAUUAACUUGGAGGAAGUUCCGGAACAACCAAAUUUAAAGGUAUUUUCAAAUUCUAAAAGAUCAGUCCGUUUUUCAGAUUUGGCACAUGUUCAAGAGUAUACCGUUUUGGAAUCCUCUAUUCCAAAACAGUACUCGAUUCCGGUGAACGAUUCCUCAGAAUCUGUUCCGGAACUUCCCAUUCUAAAUUCCAAAGAAAUAAAAUAUUUUUGGUGUUACUCCUGUCAAAAUUCUCGUACGAAUUCUUUGCCCUGGUUGCUGCGAUUGCGGUAUUCAAAAUUUUCGAUGUGGUUGCGCCAUUUGUUUUGUGGUUCAAUGUGUUGCGUGGCUAUUUGUUUGCUUGUUUUUGUUUGAAUUGUUUAAUGUUUUUUCUCGUUUCAUGAGCUGUUUCUAGUUAGGAGCGUUUUUAGCAAUUACAGAUGACGAUUGAUUACGAUGAUGACGAUUAUAUGGCAAAGAAGACGAUGAUGAUUAAAUGCGAUGAAUAUUGGAUGGAUUAUUGAAAUGCCGAAUUUCUGGACUGGACUGGACGAUCCUGACGGAGAGGCCUUUUUUCUGAGAUGGAAGAUUUUUUAUUAUAAAUGAAAUGUAUUUUAUUUUUGUAUUGUUUGAAAUAAAUGUAUGAAA
RNA transcript from Culex quinquefasciatus (southern house mosquito), 2646 nucleotides. It is a transcript of the gene named vacuolar protein sorting-associated protein 16B, with no coding region annotated. The transcript is spliced from 7 exons. The record is from RefSeq and is a predicted model, not a curated record. NCBI's taxonomy places the organism in Eukaryota, Metazoa, Arthropoda, Insecta, Diptera, Culicidae.